This 497-nucleotide ribosomal RNA is filed under the name uncultured bacterium. RNAcentral describes it as "partial 16S ribosomal RNA". It matches the Rfam family "Bacterial small subunit ribosomal RNA", at positions 28 to 507 of the family's 1533-position model. The record is from RNAcentral.
GAUGAACGCUGGCGGCGUGCCUAAUACAUGCAAGUCGAGCGAACGGACGAGAAGCUUGCUUCUCUGAUGUUAGCGGCGGACGGGUGAGUAACACGUGGAUAACCUACCUAUAAGACUGGGAUAACUUCGGGAAACCGGAGCUAAUACCGGAUAAUAUUUUGAACCGCAUGGUUCAAAGGUGAAAGGCGGUCUUGCUGUCACUUAUAGAUGGAUCCGCGCUGCAUUAGCUAGUUGGUAAGGUAACGGCUUACCAAGGCAACGAUGCAUAGCCGACCUGAGAGGGUGAUCGGCCACACUGGAACUGAGACACGGUCCAGACUCCUACGGGAGGCAGCAGUAGGGAAUCUUCCGCAAUGGGCGAAAGCCUGACGGAGCAACGCCGCGUGAGUGAUGAAGGUCUUCGGAUCGUAAAACUCUGUUAUUAGGGAAGAACAUAUGUGUAAGUAACUGUGCACAUCUUGACGGUACCUAAUCAGAAAGCCACGGCUAACUACGUG